Molecule: unclassified non-coding RNA, 352 nt
Filed under: soil metagenome
Description: partial contains 5.8S ribosomal RNA, internal transcribed spacer 2, and large subunit ribosomal RNA
Rfam family: 5.8S ribosomal RNA (bases 1-120)
Source: RNAcentral
GAUGAAGAACGCAGUGAAAUGCGAUAAGUAAUGUGAAUUGCAGAAUUCAGUGAAUCAUCGAAUCUUUGAACGCACAUUGCGCCCGCCAGCACUCUGGCGGGCAUGCCUGUCCGAGCGUCAUUUCAACCCUCGCGCCGUCCCUCCAGGGGGCUCGGCGCGGUGUUGGGGGACACGGCCCCGGCCGCCCCCGAAAUGCAGUGGCGACCCCGCCGCGGCCCCUCCAGCGCAGUAAGCACGCUCGCUACGGGAGGCCCGGUGGACGCGUCCGCCGUAAAACGCCCAACUCUUCAGAAGUUGACCUCGGAUCAGGUAGGGAUACCCGCUGAACUUAAGCAUAUCAAUAAGCGGAGGA